CUUGACUGUCCGGCUCACCACAGAGAUGUGGUUUUCCCUUCGGGGACCGGAACACAGGUGCUCGCAUGGCUGUCGUCAGCUCGUGUCGUGAGAUGUUGGGUUAAGUCCCGCAACGAGCGCAACCCUCGCCCUUAGUUGCCAGCAUUUAGUUGGGCACUCUAAGGGGACUGCCGGUGAUAAGCCGAGAGGAAGGUGGGGAUGACGUCAAGUCCUCAUGGCCCUUACGGGCUGGGCUACACACGUGCUACAAUGGUGGUGACAGUGGGCAGCGAAGGAGCGAUCCCGAGCUAAUCUCCAAAAGCCAUCUCAGUUCGGAUUGCACUCUGCAACUCGAGUGCAUGAAGUUGGAAUCGCUAGUAAUCGCGGAUCAGCACGCCGCGGUGAAUACGUUCCCGGGUCUUGGUACACACCG
RNAcentral lists this ribosomal RNA (412 nucleotides) under Rhizobium sp. SG58. Its description in RNAcentral is "bacterial SSU rRNA". It matches the Rfam family "Bacterial small subunit ribosomal RNA", at positions 980 to 1392 of the family's 1533-position model. The record is from RNAcentral. Lineage: Bacteria; Pseudomonadati; Pseudomonadota; Alphaproteobacteria; Hyphomicrobiales; Rhizobiaceae.